CAUCAAAUGGCUGAAGUAAGUAAUGGUCUCUUAAACCAAAGGAUAAUAUUUUAACAAAUAUUUUUGAUGA
Molecule: transfer RNA, 70 nt
Filed under: Mesaphorura yosii
Lineage: Eukaryota; Metazoa; Arthropoda; Collembola; Poduromorpha; Tullbergiidae
Description: tRNA-Lys
Source: RNAcentral